This is a microRNA precursor of Calidris pygmaea (Spoon-billed sandpiper), 71 nucleotides long. Ensembl annotates it as microRNA 223. Lineage: Eukaryota; Metazoa; Chordata; Aves; Charadriiformes; Scolopacidae. The record is from Ensembl.
GUGUAUUUGACAAGCUGAGUCCGACACUCAGUGUGCAGAGUGUCAGUUUGUCAAAUACCCCAAGUGAGGCA